Molecule: long non-coding RNA, 6881 nt
Organism: Oreochromis aureus
Lineage: Eukaryota; Metazoa; Chordata; Actinopteri; Cichliformes; Cichlidae
Exons: 4
Source: RefSeq, a predicted model, not a curated record
ACUUAUUCCUGCGUCUUUUGCGAUCUUACAAAGCUUCAAACGACGUGUCGACUAUUAAAUUAGUCGUCGACGAUUUUGAUAGUCGACGUAAUCAUGACUAGUCGACUAAUCGUGGCAGCCCUAGAGGACAUCCACAUGUUACAGAUUUAUGAUGACUCUGAUGACCCAGAACUACUUACUGGAAGUCAGUUCAUUGACUUGAUGUUUGUUGGCUUUUGUUCCUACAGCAGUUUAUAAACUUUUAGUCUCAGAUGUUUUCCUCAUGUGGUUCUGUGGGUUUCACAAAGGCGGUUGUGGCGAACCGUCAGACACGUGCCUUCAUAGCAGAAACAAACAUUAAACCACAACCAUAAACAGCACAAGCAUCAUUCAGUGUUUCUCCACAGUUUGUACCACCAGCAGAUACAAGAAGUGGCUGACAUCCAGAAAUCCUACCAGUUGCCGGACAAAGCUGGACUGAAAGACAGCACAGAGGCACUAAUCAUGGCAGCACAGGAACAAAUAAUCAUCACAUCCUUUAGAAUCAAAGACACGUCUCCAUCCUUCAUCUGUCUGUCCUGAAGAUCCACCCGGUUCUUAAAAGAUGGAUGCUGGUCAUCUGGAUCAAAGUGCUCAUCCCGGUAAACAAGAACAAAUUCAUCUCCAAGGUCAGAGUGACGUCCUGUCCAGACUCAGCUGUGAUGAUUUUCUGGUCUGAAAGAGGAAACAACACAGAGCAGAGAGGUUAAAGGUCAAACUACAACUGUUCACUUCUACAGUGCUUUGCCUGUAAUGUUAUAUACCAUAUUAUGAAGGUGGUGUCAUAAAAAAGUGGAGAAAAAUGCUGUCGAGAAAAAUAGAGUUUAGUUGGCGAACUGUAUGUAACACCUCACUACAUCCACUAUGUACCUUUAUGUGCUGUGUAACCCAGUGAGUUUACACGACUCAGAAAUGCACUACAACAUUGUUAUUGUUAAUUUUGAUUCAUCAUUACUCUGUUAAUCACAGAGUUGAGCUAAAGUAAAUCAAUAAUAAAAGAUAAAUAAUAUAAAUAUAAAAAUAAAACCCCAAAGAAUAUAUUUAACACCCCCUACUGGUUAGGAGGUAACAAGCCCCGCCUUCCCCUGCUCUGUACCGUCACAUGUGCACGAGACCGUCGCUGAUUUUCACUGCCAAGCUUGUUGCUGGAAAAUAACCAUAAACUUGAUAAAUUGAGCAAAUAUCCAUACCGGAGAUCUGCAUGGACCUUGGAGAACCGGAUCUGAUUUGUUGUGAACAUUUUGGACUUUGAAACCAUCGCGGUGAGUCGGAAGCUGUUAAGCUAACCUUGAAGCUAAAAAGCUAACAAGAAGUUAACAGGGAAUAUAAUGGCCCAAUUUCAAUGUUGUAGAUCUGCACGGGUGCGGAUGAAGCGGACAAGAUCCUCUUUGAGAGUUGAACAUUAGAAGCGUGCUGGCUAGGUUUUUUUGUGGGAUCGUGAGACCUGGAUUUCUUUCUGACGAGGAAGAUGGCGAGCCUUUCCCUUUGAAACGAACCACAGCCAUUCCGAGUUGGCCCAGAAGGGCAGGUUGCUCUUCUCUCACGAACAAUUGCAACAGUGCGGUAGGACGAAAUCGCACCAAUCACAGACUUUUGACGUAUUGGAUUUGACUUGACUGAACACUGACUAUUAAGCCGGUAAGACUGACAUAUCUGAGCUCAGAUAGGAUUCUGAUUUUUAUUAUUAUUGCUGUCACUGUAUUUUAUUUCAUGUUUUCAUUCCUGUUUAUGAAGUGCUGUUAACUUGUUGCUAAAUAGUUCAAUACAAUUCAAAGCAACUGUACCUGUGGCUCCAGUCAUUCUUCUCCACGCAACUCACCUUAUCCCUCCUACGAAUCUAGCUAUUGGCCCCCUCUCUUCAUCUUACUUUAACUUCCCCUACCCUAUCCUGUACUUGGCUACAGCUGCAUUCAUUAAAGAGGCACUUGUUUAUUACUGACCACCAUUACACAUAGUGAGAACACACACGCACUAAAUGUGUGUAUGUAACAAGCAGCCUCUCAUUAUAAGACACUGUGAGUCUCUGCAUGCUGCCUUUAUGGAGCUACAGCUGUUUGUAUACACUGAACAAAAAGCUUUGUAGCUGUAUACUGACUCCUGACACUACAACACAUCACACUGACACACACAUUACACUUCUUUGUCUCUGUCACAGCUGGAUUACAGAUGUUAAGUGUCCACCCAGCCUCGUGUCUCCUUCACAUAAAACCCCAUUCACAUUUACAGAAAGUCAUUACAUCAUAAUCACAGUUUAAUCUCUGUGUGCAAAGACACCAACAAACAUCGAAGUGUAGCAGAGUGAUGCAGUUAAAGCAGACAUUUCUGUGUUGUUCUUAUGGCUGAUCUGACAGUUUUAUUAUUAUUUCACUAGCAGGGACCACUCCCUUGGUAACGAUGAGCAAUGAGGGAUGAGGAAGUGUAAUUAGUGCUGCGGGUUUGGGGAAGGCCUUGAAGGGGACUGGCGAUGGCUCUCGGGCCGGGCAGAACCACCAAAGACGACAUCCCCUGCAGGAGCAAAGACUGGGCAUAACGGAGGUUUUGGAGAAUGUUGUGAAUAUAUACCAGGUAGGCUUGUGAUGACCAUCGACCCAGGAGCUUGAUUGAGUCGUCAGGGAUCCCGGAAGACAAGGGCGCUUGGCGAAAGUGUGAGAGGGGCUAUGUCCUGAUUGGGGCGUGGCCAGAUUCGGUGAUGAACAGAGGAUCUGAAGGUAAGGUGUGCUGAGAUUUUUGAGGUUGAGGUAAAGGGUUAGUGAUCCGAAGGGUCUUAAAGGAGAGUUUAUUUUGAAGUAGUAUGUAGGCGUGGUGCUGCACGAUUGAUUGGUUUGCUACGUUUGAGGAUGAAAAUGGAGCAGUCUUUGGAAACUGGGUGGAUGGCACUCAUGCACAGGUGAAGAGUCGGAUGGAACUUCAAGGAUGAGGAGGUGAAUUUGGAACAGCGUAAGCCCAAGAGCCGAGCAAGAACAUGGCUUCAAGUGUGCAUGCCAGGAAGUAGUCACUAUACUUCAGCCGGAGGGUAGAGAUGCAGCGAUGCAGAAGAUCUGAAGUUAGGGGUAAGCGGUGUAGGGUCGUAGCAGGUGACGAACGCUGGAGACUAUUGAUGAGUAGUGAUAUCUGGAAUGACGUAAUGGUUGGGCAUGGUGAACCUGCGAGCAGUUUGGCAAGGAAAUUGAUGCCGCUUUAUGGAGGGAAUUUUGAUGCUCUGGAACCGGAAGGCAUGGAUAUGAAGCUGGAAACUGUUGCGAUGUCGAAUGAUGGGAAGGGCAGGUUGGAGUUUUGAUGCAAUGAACGGAAGAUUGCUAUGAGGCUAUUUAAAAUCGCUUCUUGGGAGAUGCUGAUGAGUUGUGCGAUGCUAGGGUUUAGAUCUCGAAUGUCGUGGCUGAAAAUGGAGGAACUGGGGUCGGAGCUGCCUCUGCGUGGGGCGCCAAGGCUCUGAAUGUCUGGAGGGAGAGACGAGAUAGGGAGUCGGAAAUGGAAUUGAAGUGGCCUGGAAUGUGUUCUGCUCUGAAUACUGUUUCUCUCAGAGUCGUGUAUAACGACAGGUUCACUUCACAUUUGUGUGAAUAUAAAAGGUCAGAAUACAUUUCUCGUUUAACAUACUGAUCAAAGUUGUGGUUUGAUUUACAUUUUUAAGGAAGAAUAAAGAAUAAAGUUACUGUUAGCACAAGCACACAAAGAAAGCAGAGCUUUAGCUCUCUACAUCACUUUUAAGCCUGGAUAUUGAGCCUUUUGCUUCCUCUCAGCUGUGAUGACAGUCUCUGUGUGUCCAUCUCAUCCAACAUCAUCCAUCUGACAUAAUACCCACCAACUGACAGACUAAAGAUAAAAUCUUAAAUUCAUUUUGCAUCACUUACAUUUAAAAUACAUUUAAGGUGGAUUUCUUAAAAGCGAAGUGACUGACCUGACUGUUGUGUCAAGUGUUAGGAAUAAAAGAAAUAUUUUAAUGUGUAUCUGCUCAUUAUAUUGUUUUAUGUACUUUAAUCAUGAAGGCUUGUAGAGCAAGGCCAACAAGUGCUCAGAACAACAAGUGCUCAGCCAGACUGAAAAAAAGGAAGUUUUAGUGCACAAGGCAUAUUAAUAAAUCAAGACACAGAAAAGAGGAACUUUCCGUGUAAACAAUGUUCAAGCCUGUGUGACGUGUAAAGUACCGAAAUAAUACCAUAUAAGAAACAGCUUAUGAUUCUGAUGUUAGAGAGCUCUUGCAACCGGCGUUUGAGCUGUGCAGAGGUCUCUCUCUUCCGGAAGAUGAUUAAAGAAAUAUAACUGUUUUAACACACUAUGAGUCGGUUUUCCCUGUUUUGUCAUGGGGAAAAAAGAAUCGGGCUUAAUACAAGACAGGUGUGAAAUGGGAGUUAAAUCAGGUUUUAUACUAAGGAUGUGUUUACUUUUGGUCUGUAAUACGUUUAGUUUAUUAUCUAAGGGUUAACAUAGCAAAUCCUCCAUCCAGAGGCUAAAAUGAUAUCAGAGCUAGACUACUUUAAGUGAAAGCCUGAGCCUUAAAUUAAACAAGGUUAAAAAGAAAUGCUGCUAUCUACAGUGUGAGGCACUGAGCUCUAUUAUACCAGCUGUUUGUUGCUGUUCUUUUUUUUAAUUUUCUUGGGUAUUAUUACCUUCCUGUUACUUCAUAAUGGAAUGACAGUUAAUGGUAAAAGUCUUGAAUAGUUUUGAAUAAAAAAAUAAGAGAAAUUAUAUUUAUUUUUCCAUGAUCCUACAUUUCAUUCAAUCACUCGUGGACUUGUAUGAACGUUACAUGUAUUAUUUUCACCUGUGGAUUUACAGACGCUUUGUGAACACAGUUGUCAUUUUAUCCAAAGGCAACGUUUUAUUUGAUGUCCAUUGAUUCAAGGUGAACACAAACUAUUUCUCAUAAAAUCACUGACAGACAACAGAAACAGGAGCUCUGAGAGAAAUUCAAUUCAACUUUAUUUAUACAGCACCAAUUUACAACAACAUUUGGUUUUAUUUUACAGAAAGUUAAAACCAAACCCAAUUCUGGAUGUGUUUGAAACCUGCAGCUGAUCCCUGUCUGCUGUUCACUACCUUUGAUUUCUAUCUGUUACCAGCAUCACUGACGAUGCUGAAAUCACCAGCGGGAGACCAAGAAUCAAGAAAACAACGGCAGCAGCAACAAGAAGCACAGCAGGAACUGACAGGCUGACUUUCAGUCCAACAGAUCCUCCUGUCUGACCUGCAGGUGAAAGAUAUUGGGAACAGCAGAGCAGAGUGCAGGCUCAGCCACAAACCUGCCCACGGUGCAGUUGGAGGAGUGCCUGACCCUGGGGUGUCUGGUCCCAAACCAUCAACCACAACUGCUGCAGCAUCUACUAGUAGUGCAAGUAUAACCCAUCAAAGCCUUAAAUCCCACGUACACUCUACCCAGCAGAAAAACACUGUCCGUAACAAUGAUCCUAAAUCUAUAGACACAGAACGUGCAUUAUGGCAAGACUGGGUGAAAAAAGCUCCACCAGUGUUUCUGACAAUUGACUGCUGGACCUCUAGAUCUUCCACUUUAUUGAAAAUUACAAGAUGGCCUCUUAGCUGAUGGACAGACACACUGCAGAAAACUUGGUAGAAGAGCUAAUAAGAGUUUUAUUGUUUUCAAGAAUUAAAAAUUAUGAAGUGGACUCACCACCCAUGUCUGUUGCAUACAUUAAACCUGAUGAUAAGAGAUUAGCUGUGCUGUCUGCACCAUCCUGCAACCUUAUGAGGUGACUGUGGAGAUAAAUGCAGAUACGUAACUAAGACAGUUGCUUUUCUUUAUUACUAUUCAGUCAUGAACAGCAAAAACAACACAUAUGAUUGACUAAACUGAAUUGCAAAAAGCUGUACGCCACAUAAUAAUAAUGAUGAUAAUAAUAAUAAUAAUAACAAAUUCUAAAAGUUGCACUUUUCUCUCCUUCAGCUAUGUCACAGCCUCCAAAGUGCUCCUGCUUUGCAAAGGUCUUCAGUGAGUCACAGCCCAACACCAACUGACAGUAACUGUGCAGAAAGUAAAGGAAGUGGCUGCAGCUCUUUGUUCAGCCAUGGACUGAAAAUUUCUGUGUGUGGAGUUCAACACCGUCCUCUCAGAAACUGGAUUACUGGAUGGUAGGUUUAAAAAGCUUGCAUUCAGUGACAACAGAGCUGUUGAUGAGGCACUUCAGAGAAUAACUGCCACAGCAGCAAAGUGCACUCCCACCCAGCUCCACCAUUACAGGGCCAAGUGAAGCAGGAGCCACAAACGUCUGCUGUGUGGAGCCUCUUUGAUGAAAGAGCUACAGGAGAUGCUGCAAAGAGAAAUACUACAGCUGAUGUUAUGAUGGAGAUGAAAUGUUAUCUUGAGGAGCUCCUCAUCCAACAUGGAGAAGGCCCACGGAGCUGGUGGCAGGCCGAGGCCACAGUCUUUCCAUACCUGUUGAAGGUGAUGGAGGGGAGACUGUGCAUUGUGGCAACAUCUGUUCCUUCGGAGAGUCUUCUCAAAAACAGGGCGGAGACUAAGGAGAAACCACAUCAGCCCAUCCAAGCUGAGGGAUUUGAUUUUUCUGUAUGUCAACCUGCACUGAGGACAAACUGUUUGGCUGCUGAGUUUGUUUCUGUUUCUGUUCUGUGGAUUUGUUUACAGAGCAGGUUUGAUUAAUUAUUAAGGUUUGAUUAAAAUAUUAAACAACAGUAAGAAGCCCUGCUUUUGUAACAGAACAAAAGCACAAAAUUAGGCAAUUAAAAGGCUUUUCAUAAAAACACUACAUGCAAAAGGGUUUAUCAACACACAAAGCACUCACAUUUGCCAAGUAAAGCUAAAGUAUGAGGCUACAGAUGAUUAUAAAUUAAGAGCCAUUUGGGAGCCACAAGACAUGCAAGAUAAUCCAGAGCUUAGAUCUAAAUAAGGA